Long non-coding RNA from Oncorhynchus tshawytscha (Chinook salmon), 2421 nucleotides. The record is from Ensembl. Lineage: Eukaryota; Metazoa; Chordata; Actinopteri; Salmoniformes; Salmonidae.
CGCUGAUAGUGUUAACUAAAGGAGCAAGCUGAUAGUGUUAACUAAAGGAGAAAGCUCUAGAACGCUGAUAGUAUUAACUAAAGGAGAAAGCUCUAGAAAGCUGAUAGUGUUAACUAAAGGAGAAAGCUGAUAGUGUUAACUAAAGGAGAAAGCUCUAGAAAGCUGAUAGUGUUAAACCACAAUGAUUGUUGAUUAACAACACGGGCUAAUAAAGAACCGUUGGAAGGUCAGAGGUCGAAAGGGCAACUCACCCAGUUGAAGUGACAGAGUGGUCUGAUGAGUGGUGGGUGGUGGGCUCAGAACUCUUUCUGCUGAUCUUUCUGGUCUUUCCAGAACCAGAACCCUCCUUCACCACCACUACCACUCUGUCUUCAGCUACAGUCUCUCUCUGGGACCCUGCCGCUCGCUCCCCUGUAGAGGCAGGUCUGUCUACGGAGGACGAGGUCUUCUCUCCUUUCUGUUCCCUGGUGGCUGACUUCUCCCUGGAAGAUGACCUGUCCGUCUUGGCUGAUGCUGGUCUCUCUCUCUCCUUGGAGCUCUCAGCUGGUCUCUCUCCAGUAGAGGUGAUAGUGGUGGUGAUAUUAGCAGCUGGAGCUGGUCUCUCCUCUGGGCGGGCCAUACUGCUGUUCCUCCCCAGGUCUCUGUUCAGUUUGAUUCUCCUCUGGGGGAAGGGUUUGACCUGCAGACCCAUGAGAGGCCAGAUAGACCCCCUGUCACUCUCUCUUCUGCCCGCCUCAGAGCUCCCUGGGGUGGGCAGCAGCCCGUCGCCUCUCCCCUCUCUCCCCAGGUCCAUGGAGGAACCAGGGAUGGAGAUUGAGAUGGGAUGGAAACGGUCUAGCCUCCCUGUCUGUGAGGAACCAGGGAUGGGGAGCAGACCCUCUCCUCUACCCGACUCUCUGCAUGCCAGGUUCAGGAGGAGGGAAGGCUUGGCAGGAAGUCCUCUCUGGGGGUACGGACCCUCGGCGCGGCGGAGCUUAGCCGGGGGCCCCCCCAUCCCCCUGUCCAUCCCCCUCCCCCUUUCCCUCUCCUCCACUCUCCUCCUCUUCUCUGCUGGGGAGGGAGGUGCAGGCUGGAGGGGGCGACCAGGGGGGCGUACCCCGACACUGUGAAUGGGAUCUCUCCUUCCCCCCCGGGCGUCGCCCAGGUGUUUAGGGAGGUCGUGGGGGUGAGGGGGGAGGGGGCGGGGCAGGGGGAGUUUAGCCAAACCUCCUCGAACAGUAGGGGUGCUCCGCCCCUUCUCUCUCCUGAUUGGCUCGUCCGGUUUGACCUUGGAUGCUUUGGUUGGUUUAGCGGCUGAAGACUCUUUGUUCUUAGAGGCUGUGACCGUCGCCUCUCCUCCCGUCUUUCUCUUAACCUUCUCUCCUUUCACCUUUCCCUCCGUCUUUACUUUCAGCUUACCCACCUUCUCCUUCCUGCUCUUCUCUGAUUGGCCGGACGAGGUGGGAGGGGUUUUACCGGAGAGCAGCGCUGCCUUAUUGCUCGAGACCUUGGUGGAGGUGGGUGGGGCUUUGCUAGGGGUCAGGGUGUGGAGAUCAUCCAUUGGCUCGUCCCUGACGGGUGUGGCGUCUCCCCUGUCCAGCGAUUGGUCGGCUGAAUCCUCCUCACCGUUCUUCUUUUUCUUCAGUUUCUUCCCUUUCAGAGUUUUAGUUCCGCCCUCUGACGUUUUGGUUCCCCCCUGCGUGCGUUCCUUACUUCCGCCCCCCCUGACGGAGGCAGAGGGCAGAGCGGACAAGGCGUGGUGAGUUCUGUGGGGUCCGGGAGGUCCCCCUCUCUCACCCCUCCUCACCCGCCCCUGGGGGGAGUAGUCUCUGGGCGGAGGGGUGAGGCGGUCCCUCUCUCUGCUGCCCCGGCCACCGCGGUGGUGCACCGAGGCAUGCUGGGUACUGUAGUCUUUGUAGUACUUGUUGUACCAGUCCCUGUACUCUUUCUCCCACUGUCUGUAGCUGUCUCUUUCCCAGCGUUCCCUGCCGCCGGGAGACAGGUCAGGUCCGCCUUUAGGCUCGUAAGGAGCCGGCUCUCGAGGGGGGGGCUUAUGGUGACCUCUAACCCCUCCAGGACUCCUGCUCCUCCUGUAGCCCCCCGGGGAGCGAGACCUGGGCCGAUACCCCCCUCCUCCUCCUCCUUCAACUCCGUCUCCUCCUUCCCAGCCCCCCCCACCACCACCUCGGUAAGGCGGAGGGGAGCGAGGAGAGCCGGAGCGACGGUAGCCGUAGGAACGGGAGCGUGAGCGGGACCGUGGCGAGCGACCGUAGGAUCGGCUGCGUCCUCCCCGGCCUCCGUUGCGUCUGGAGAAGGGGGAGCGUCCGUAAGACCUGGAACGGGAGCGGGAGCGGCUGGGGGUGUACGAGUAAGACCUGGAGCGGGAGCGAGGAGAUCGGGAGUAGGGGGAACGGCUGAACGGAGAACGACUGUAGGAACGAG